RNAcentral lists this transfer RNA (74 nucleotides) under Phycisphaerales bacterium. RNAcentral describes it as "tRNA-Arg". It matches the Rfam family "tRNA". Rfam says of the family: Transfer RNA (tRNA) molecules are approximately 80 nucleotides in length. Their secondary structure includes four short double-helical elements and three loops (D, anti-codon, and T loops). The record is from RNAcentral. Lineage: Bacteria; Pseudomonadati; Planctomycetota; Phycisphaerae; Phycisphaerales.
GCCCCGAUAGCUCAGUCGGAUAGAGCAGCGGUCUUCUAAACCGCAGGUCGUUGGUUCGAAUCCAACUCGGGGUG